RNAcentral lists this unclassified non-coding RNA (90 nucleotides) under Pseudomonas mediterranea. Lineage: Bacteria; Pseudomonadati; Pseudomonadota; Gammaproteobacteria; Pseudomonadales; Pseudomonadaceae. The record is from RNAcentral.
UGUGGGAGCGAGCCUGCUCGCGAUAGCGGCGGUAGGUUCAGCAUCGAUGCAAACUGAUCCGCCGUCAUCGCGAGCAGGCUCGCUCCCACA